AGAGAAUGCCACAAAUACGCAUUCAUUAAUAUUUCCCAAUGGCGGUGGUCAAUAAGGAAAAAGACGGAGGAUGCUGGAGAUUUUGGUGGAAUUAUGGAAUGUGGCUGCCGUUAUCAAUUGCGUGUGUGGAGUAAUUUUCCAUGUUGGACAACAAUAAGGUAAGUGAAAAUAAAUUUUAAGUGUGUAGAUUUUAAAUAAAUGUAUUGAUUAAGAUAAAAGUGCUAUUAGGAAUUUUGGAAAUUACAGUGAGUGUAAAAAGUGUGUGUACAAAAAAAAUUAAUUAAAAUGAAAGUUUUUUACAGUGAAAGUAAAGAGUUGUUAGGGAUAAAAAAAAUUAAAAUUAGAAAAUACAGUGAGUGCCAAAAGUGCUCGGACGGACAAUCAGAAUGUAAAAAAAAAUUUAUAAAUUAAAGUGAAAAAAAUAUCUUGCCGGUCGAUAAAAAAUUAAAUAUAAGAAAUUUUCAAGAAAUUACAGUGCGGACCAAAAAUGUUGUGACGAAAAUUACCGUGUAAAAAAAAUUAAAAAGUAUACUAUUAACAAAAAUAAAUUUAAACUACUGCUAUUAAGGCUGUAUAUAAAAAUCAAAAGUGGAAUUUUACAGUGUGAAACAAAAGUGGUAUAAAAAAAUUAUAAAGUGAAAAUAAAAAUAAAGUGAGAAUAAAAAUAAAUUAUUGUGCAAAUGAAAAAUUUACGGUGCCAAACGAAAAAAAUUAAAUGGAAAUUACAGUGACUAGCAAAAGUGUUCGGUAUUAAAAAAAAUUAAAGUA
Molecule: long non-coding RNA, 768 nt
Organism: Lucilia cuprina (Australian sheep blowfly)
Lineage: Eukaryota; Metazoa; Arthropoda; Insecta; Diptera; Calliphoridae
Exons: 3
Source: RefSeq, a predicted model, not a curated record